Molecule: non-coding RNA, 76 nt
Organism: Callorhinchus milii (elephant shark)
Lineage: Eukaryota; Metazoa; Chordata; Chondrichthyes; Chimaeriformes; Callorhinchidae
Source: the annotation of a RefSeq genome assembly
GUUACUGUAGCUCAGUGGUUAGAGCACUCGCCUGACAAGCGAGAGUACUGGGUUUGAUUCCCAGCAGAGCGAAACC